RNAcentral lists this ribosomal RNA (493 nucleotides) under uncultured bacterium. Its description in RNAcentral is "partial 16S ribosomal RNA". It matches the Rfam family "Bacterial small subunit ribosomal RNA", at positions 30 to 523 of the family's 1533-position model. The record is from RNAcentral.
AUUGAACGCUGGCGGCAUGCCUUACACAUGCAAGUCGAACGGUAACAGGUUAAGCUGACGAGUGGCGAACGGGUGAGUAAUAUAUCGGAACGUGCCCAGUCGUGGGGGAUAACGUAGCGAAAGCUACGCUAAUACCGCAUACGAUCUACGGAUGAAAGCGGGGGAUCGCAAGACCUCGCGCGAUUGGAGCGGCCGAUAUCAGAUUAGGUUGUUGGUGAGGUAAAAGCUCACCAAGCCUGCGAUCUGUAGCUGGUCUGAGAGGACGACCAGCCACACUGGAACUGAGACACGGUCCAGACUCCUACGGGAGGCAGCAGUGGGGAAUUUUGGACAAUGGACGCAAGCCUGAUCCAGCAAUGCCGCGUGCAGGAAGAAGGCCUUCGGGUUGUAAACUGCUUUUGUACGGAACGAAACGGCCUGGGUUAAUACCCUGGGCUAAUGACGGUACCGUAAGAAUAAGCACCGGCUAACUACGUGCCAGCAGCCGCAGUAA